This is a non-coding RNA of Pelobates cultripes (western spadefoot toad), 1354 nucleotides long. Lineage: Eukaryota; Metazoa; Chordata; Amphibia; Anura; Pelobatidae. The record is from the annotation of a GenBank genome assembly.
CUCGCCGUGUCCCUGGUACAUUUCAAGCAGCAGGCUGUGCUCUGCCGGGGGCUCACUCAUACAGUAGGCAAUCAGGGAUUACCUAGCGGCCGUGCAGCCCCCCCGCCGCGGAUGAUGUAGGUGCGGGCAGACGUUGAGGCCGUGUACAUGGUAUAUACCCGCCCGUUCGCCAGCCGCAGGGUCCCCCCAGCCGGGGAGCAGGCCGCCCGGGCUCCGUCUGAGCAGCAGCGUGGGAAGGCGAUCUGCAUCACUGAUGUAAUUAAAGCGAUCUGAGCAACCAGGACUCCCUCCUCCCCCACUCCGUGUUGCGGUGUCUCCAAGAUCCCGGGCCCUCUCCCGCAAGCUGCCAGGGGCCCUCUGCACCAUUAACCCCUUAUACACCGGGUAACUUAUUACUCCUCGGACCAGUGUCAGUACUCCCCCCAUUUUACACUACCUUCAGCAUUCACCUGCCCACACCCCUUCAUUGACCCCUGAGCCAGACUUUGUGCUUCUCAUGCCCCAAUAGCAGCCUGUGCCGCAUGGUGUACCCCAGCCUGGAGCAGACCCAGGACAUCUGACAGCUCUCCCCUCCUGUACCAGCUUCUCACACUUUCUCCUGGAUCCCCCUCCCUCUCAAGGCCAUUGCAGUGGAUUCCUCAUCUCCCCUACAUUCCAUCCCUGGAAUUACUGCUCACUGUCUGGAGAGGCUCCCUUGUGCUGCAGCCUGGGGAGAAGACACACAUUGUAUACACAUACUGAUUAGUAGCAGUAUUCAUUUUUCUUUUCUUUUUACUUGUUACCCAAGUCCUCCUUUUGCCUAUUGCCCCAGGAAUGAGUAUAGAAAUCCCUGAGGGGCUGACCGAGCUGCUGCAGGGCUUUACUGUGGAGGUGCUGAGGAGGCAGCCUGAGGACCUGAUUGACUUCGCCCUGCAGUACUUCACUCAGCUCAAGGAGUCUCACAGCCAGGGGACCACCCUCAGCCAUGGCAUGGACUUACCCUUCAAACACUUCAAGGGGGUCAACUUUUCCGAAGAACCCAUGCAGACAGACUCUGAAAAUGGCGAUGAAGAAGAGGAUGAUGAUGAUGAGGAAUUUGUGGGUAUGUUACCCUAGAGAAUAGUUGAAAUAGGAAAAAACCUUGCCACCACCAUUCAUUAGCUUUUUUGUAGGAGCUUAUUUUAGUAGUAUGCAUGUUACAUUUGUGUGAGUUGUCAUUGCAAUGCUGCAUUGACAUCAACAAAGCUUGGCAAAUGAGGGGUUCUUUAUGGAGAAACUAAUGAUGGCAUAUUCUACCAGCUUGUAUACAGGUGUCAGGUGCAUGAUGCAUACAUGGCCAAAAUUUACUUAGAAUAUUGGAUUUCUUUUAUAUUAU